Molecule: RNase P RNA, 357 nt
Filed under: Silicimonas sp.
Lineage: Bacteria; Pseudomonadati; Pseudomonadota; Alphaproteobacteria; Rhodobacterales; Paracoccaceae
Description: RNase P RNA component class A
Rfam family: Bacterial RNase P class A
About the family: Ribonuclease P (RNase P) is a ubiquitous endoribonuclease, found in archaea, bacteria and eukarya as well as chloroplasts and mitochondria. Its best characterised activity is the generation of mature 5'-ends of tRNAs by cleaving the 5'-leader elements of precursor-tRNAs.
Source: RNAcentral
GCGGACGGCUGGACGGCCGCGUGUCUUUCGAGGCGCGAGGAAAGUCCGGACUCCUACGAAGCAACGGUGCCGGGUAACGCCCGGCCGGGGAGACCCGAGGGAAAGCGCCACAGAGAACAGACGGCCUCGCAUGCGGGGUCACGGUGAAACGGUGCGGUAAGAGCGCACCGCGGUCUUGGCAACAAGGCUGGCACGGCAAGCCCCACCGGGAGCAAUGCCGAAUAGGGGUCUCACCAUGGGCAGCUUCGGCCCGAGACCCGGGUAGGCAGCUAGACCCUGUCGGCAACGGCAGGGCCAGAUGAAUGGUCGUCACCACUUUUUGGGGGACAGAAUCCGGCUUACAGGCCGUCCGCGCCU